This 468-nucleotide ribosomal RNA is filed under the name uncultured bacterium. RNAcentral's name for it is "partial 16S ribosomal RNA". It matches the Rfam family "Bacterial small subunit ribosomal RNA", at positions 28 to 507 of the family's 1533-position model. The record is from RNAcentral.
GACGAAUGCUGGCGGCGUGCUUAACACAUGCAAGUCGAACGGAAAGGCCCUGCUUUUGUGGGGUGCUCGAGUGGCGAACGGGUGAGUAACACGUGAGUAACCUGCCCUUGACUUUGGGAUAACUUCAGGAAACUGGGGCUAAUACCGGAUAGGAGCUCCUGCUGCAUGGUGGGGGUUGGAAAGUUUCGGCGGUUGGGGAUGGACUCGCGGCUUAUCAGCUUGUUGGUGGGGUAGUGGCUUACCAAGGCUUUGACGGGUAGCCGGCCUGAGAUGGUGACCGGCCACAUUGGGACUGAGAUACGGCCCAGACUCCUACGGGAGGCAGCAGUGGGGAAUAUUGCACAAUGGGCGGAAGCCUGAUGCAGCAACGCCGCGUGCGGGAUGACGGCCUUCGGGUUGUAAACCGCUUUCGCCUGUGACGAAGCGUGAGUGACGGUAAUGGGUAAAGAAGCACCGGCUAACUACGUG